AGUGAACGCUGGCGGUAGGCCUAACACAUGCCAGUCGAACGGCAGCACAGUAAGAGCUUGCUCUUACGGGUGGCGAGUGGCGGACGGGUGAGGAAUACAUCGGAAUCUACUUUUUCGUGGGGGAUAACGUAGGGAAACUUACGCUAAUACCGCAUACGACCUACGGGUGAAAGCAGGGGAUCUUCGGACCUUGCGCGAUUGAAUGAGCCGAUGUCGGAUUAGCUAGGUGGCGGGGUAAAGGCCCACCAAGGCGACGAUCCGUAGCUGGUCUGAGAGGAUGAUCAGCCACACUGGAACUGGGACACGGUCCAGACUCCUACGGGAGGCAGCAGUGGGGAAUAUUGGACAAUGGGCGCAAGCCUGAUCCAGCCAUACCGCGUGGGUGAAGAAGGCCUUCGGGUUGUAAAGCCCUUUUGUUGGGAAAGAAAAGCAGCAGGUUAAUACCCCGCUGUUCUGACGGUACCCAAAGAAUAAGCACCGGCUAACUUCGUG
This 492-nucleotide ribosomal RNA is filed under the name uncultured bacterium. RNAcentral's name for it is "partial 16S ribosomal RNA". It matches the Rfam family "Bacterial small subunit ribosomal RNA", at positions 29 to 507 of the family's 1533-position model. The record is from RNAcentral.